ACUCUCGGUAAAUGAAUGAGGAGAGCCCCAUGUGGGAUUACAAACUUGCUGGAAAUGGAUGAGAAACCUUCUGCUCUGCUGGAGUUUAUCUUGAGUGUGCCUUAAAAUUCCAUUUCAUGGAGAACUGUGCGUGGUUGAAUUUUGAUUGAUUACUCAAUUAACUGAUGUAUUGGUAGAGUGAUUAAGAAAGAAGACUUUGGGAUCAGACCAACCUGGUUUUGAAUUCAAGCUCAGCAACUUACUAGGUAAGGAGGAGAAAAGAAAGAAGGAAAAAUUGGAAAGAUAAAUGGGGUCUUUCCAGUGAAGCUGCAGUUAUGGCAUUAACCACCCAGUUGUUACCUACUUCUAGAUGAAAGUAAG
This 360-nucleotide long non-coding RNA is filed under the name Homo sapiens (human). RNAcentral's name for it is "non-protein coding lnc-KLHL32-4:43". The record is from RNAcentral. Lineage: Eukaryota; Metazoa; Chordata; Mammalia; Primates; Hominidae.